RNAcentral lists this unclassified non-coding RNA (335 nucleotides) under soil metagenome. Its description in RNAcentral is "partial contains 5.8S ribosomal RNA, internal transcribed spacer 2, and large subunit ribosomal RNA". The stretch from base 1 to 120 matches the Rfam family "5.8S ribosomal RNA", at positions 35 to 154 of the family's 154-position model. The record is from RNAcentral.
GAUGAAGAACGCAGCGAAAUGCGAUAAGUAAUGUGAAUUGCAGAAUUCAGUGAAUCAUCGAAUCUUUGAACGCACAUUGCGCCCGCCAGUAUUCUGGCGGGCAUGCCUGUUCGAGCGUCAUUUCAACCAUCAAGCCCCCGGCUUGUGUUGGGGACCUGCGGCUGCCGCAGGCCCUGAAAACCAGUGGCGGGCUCGCUAGUCACUCCGAGCGUAGUAAUACAUCUCGCUCAGGGCGUGCUGCGGGUCCCGGCCGUUAAAAAGCCUUAUUUACCCAAGGUUGACCUCGGAUCAGGUAGGAAGACCCGCUGAACUUAAGCAUAUCAAUAAGCGGAGGA